This 1012-nucleotide long non-coding RNA is filed under the name Homo sapiens (human). Its description in RNAcentral is "HSALNT0379785". Lineage: Eukaryota; Metazoa; Chordata; Mammalia; Primates; Hominidae. The record is from RNAcentral.
AAAUAAAUAAAUAGUCAUCCACCCCGUGUAAUUUUUUGUUUUAGCUCUGGGGUAAAAUCCACCCCUGGGCUGUGGAAGCAUCCAGUCACUUCUCAGACUGGGACGGUGUCUCUGGGGAAGACAAAGGUGGGUUCAGAAGAAGAUGAGAUUGCUGGGCCUUCUCCUGUGCCUGCUGACACCUCCCGAAGCUGUCCUGUCCCAGGUGCAGCAGCAGGAGUGAGGCUCAAGACUGGAGAAGCCGUGGCUGCCCCCUUCCUCACCUGGCACGACUCCGGAUUCUCCAUCACAGCCAGUGGUUACUGCGGAGGCCCGGUCCACCGGCCCCUAGACAAGGGGUUGCACUGGCUGAGGAGCAUCGAUUAUAAGAGAAACACGAACAACCGCCGCCUCUCAAGAGCCUCAUCUCCAUCCAGAGACUCAUCCAACAAGCAGCGCUCCCUGCGGCGGAGCUCCAGGAACCCACAGGACAGCCAGGGAAAUGAAGCACCAUUUAUUGGGACGUGUCCUCCAUUUCUGAUGGGCUCCCCGUGGUCUCCACCUCAGAUGGUUUUGCCACCAUCUUUAAUCCGUUAAUGCCUUCAAUCGCCCUCACCAUCCAUGUAAUGAAGCAAUGAAUGCCUUUACUUCAUCUACUUGUGUCUCCAUCAGUCAGUUCACUUCUCUCCAUUCUCACAAAGGACAGCCACCCACUACUUCAGAGCCUCCUGCAGCCUUGGGUGGUAAACCUAUUAAAAAGCCCCUGCUGUUUAGAAAGGGUGUGUAUUGGAAACUUAAUCCCAAAUUCCAUAGUGUCCAGAGGUGAGAAUGUUAAGAAAUGAUUAGGCCGAGAGGGCUCUGCCCUCAUGAAGCAAUUAAUGCCAUUAUCAUCAGAGUAGGUUACUUAUUGUGGUAGCAGAUUAGUUACUACAGGCCUGGGUUCCUCAUUAAAAAAUGAGUUUAGCCCCCUUUCCAUCCUUUGCACAUGCUCUCCUGCCUUCCACAUGGGCAUCACAGCAAGAAGGCUCUUGCCAGA